This 534-nucleotide ribosomal RNA is filed under the name uncultured bacterium. RNAcentral describes it as "bacterial SSU rRNA". It matches the Rfam family "Bacterial small subunit ribosomal RNA", at positions 975 to 1509 of the family's 1533-position model. The record is from RNAcentral.
UUGGCCUUGACAUACUAAGAACUUUCCAGAGAUGGAUUGGUGCCUUCGGGAACUUAGAUACAGGUGCUGCAUGGCUGUCGUCAGCUCGUGUCGUGAGAUGUUGGGUUAACGUCCGCAACGAGCGCAACCUUUUCCUUAUUUGCCAGCGGGUAAUGCCGGGAACUUUAAGGAUACUGCCAGUGACAAACUGGAGGAAGGCGGGGACGACGUCAAGUCAUCAUGGCCCUUACGGCCAGGGCUACACACGUGCUACAAUGGUCGGUACAAAGGGUUGCUACCUCGCGAGAGGAUGCUAAUCUCAAAAAGCCGAUCGUAGUCCGGAUCGCAGUCUGCAACUCGACUGCGUGAAGUCGGAAUCGCUAGUAAUCGCGGAUCAGAAUGCCGCGGUGAAUACGUUCCCGGGCCUUGUACACACCGCCCGUCACACCAUGGGAGUUUGUUGCACCAGAAGUAGGUAGUCUAACCGCAAGGAGGACGCUUACCACGGUGUGGCCGAUGACUGGGGUGAAGUCGUAACAAGGUAGGCGUAGAUGA